AAUGAACGUUGGCGGCGUGGAUUAGGCAUGCAAGCCGAGCGGAAAGGCCCGCAAGGGCACUCGAGCGGCGUAAGGGACAGUAAUGUGUAGGUACGUACCCUGGGUCUAGGAUAGCUGCGGGAAACUGCAAUUAAUACUAGAUGAUGUCUCCGGACCAAAGGUGUGAUUCCACCCAGGGAGCGGCCUACAUCCUAUUAGCUAGUUGGUGAGGUGACGGCUCGCCAAGGCGAAGAUGGGUAGCAGGUGUGAGAGCACGACCUGCGUCACUGGGACUGAGACACUGCCCAGACACCUACGGGUGGCUGCAGUCGAGAAUCUUCGGCAAUGGGCGAAAGCCUGACCGAGCGACGCCGCGUGCGGGGAUGAAGGCCUCGGUUGUAAA
Molecule: ribosomal RNA, 382 nt
Filed under: uncultured bacterium
Lineage: Bacteria
Description: bacterial SSU rRNA
Rfam family: Bacterial small subunit ribosomal RNA
Source: RNAcentral